This 446-nucleotide ribosomal RNA is filed under the name uncultured bacterium. RNAcentral's name for it is "bacterial SSU rRNA". It matches the Rfam family "Bacterial small subunit ribosomal RNA", at positions 28 to 494 of the family's 1533-position model. The record is from RNAcentral.
GACGAACGCUGGCGGCGUGCUUAACACAUGCAAGUCGAGCGGUAAGGCCCUUUCGGGGGUACACGAGCGGCGAACGGGUGAGUAACACGUGGGUGACCUGCCCUCAGCUCUGGGAUAAGCCUGGGAAACCGGGUCUAAUACCGGAUAUGACUCCAUGACGCAUGUUGUGGGGUGGAAAGCCUUGUGCGGCUGAGGAUGGGCCCGCGGCCUAUCAGCUUGUUGGUGGGGUGAUGGCCUACCAAGGCGACGACGGGUAGCCGGCCUGAGAGGGCGACCGGCCACACUGGGACUGAGACACGGCCCAGACUCCUACGGGAGGCAGCAGUGGGGAAUAUUGGACAAUGGGCGAAAGCCUGAUCCAGCCAUGCCGCGUGAGUGAUGAAGGCCUUAGGGUUGUAAAGCUCUUUACCCGGGAAGAUAAUGACGGUACCGGGAGAAUAAGCCCC